GGGAUUGCCCUAGUAACGGCGAGUGAAGCGGCAACAGCUCAAAUUUGAAAUCUGGCGCAAGCCCGAGUUGUAAUUUGUAGAGGAUGCUUCUGGCCAGCGGCCGUUCUAAGUUCCUUGGAACAGGACGUCAUAGAGGGUGAGAAUCCCGUAUGUGACCGGCGCGCAGCCUUUACGUAGCUCCUUCGACGAGUCGAGUUGUUUGGGAAUGCAGCUCUAAAUGGGAGGUAAAUUUCUUCUAAAGCUAAAUACCGGCCAGAGACCGAUAGCGCACAAGUAGAGUGAUCGAAAGAUGAAAAGCACUUUGGAAAGAGAGUUAAAAAGCACGUGAAAUUGUUGAAAGGGAAGCGCUUGCAACCAGACUUCGUAGCGAUGUUCCGCCGGUCUUCUGACCGGUCUACUCAUCGUCGCGAGGCCAACAUCGUCUGGGGCCGCUGGAUAAGACCUAAGGAAUGUAGCUUCCCUCGGGAAGUGUUAUAGCCUGUGGUGAUGCAGCGUGUCUCGGGCGAGGUCCGCGCUUCGGCAAGGAUGUUGGCGUAAUGGUUGUCAGCGGCCCGUCUUGAAACACGGACCAAGGAGUCUAACAUCUAUGCGAGUGUUCGGGUGUCAAACCCCUACGCGUAAUGAAAGUGAACGGAGGUGGGAAGCGCAAGCUGCACCAUCGACCGAUCCUGAUGUCCUCGGAUGGAUUUGAGUAAGAGCAUAGCUGUUGGGACCCGAAAGAUGGUGAACUAUGCCUGAAUAGGGUGAAGCCAGAGGAAACUCUGGUGGAGGCUCGCAGCGGUUCUGACGUGCAAAUCGAUCGUCAAAUUUGGGUAUAGGGGCG
RNAcentral lists this ribosomal RNA (823 nucleotides) under Dothistroma septosporum. RNAcentral's name for it is "eukaryotic LSU rRNA". It matches the Rfam family "Eukaryotic large subunit ribosomal RNA", at positions 71 to 925 of the family's 3401-position model. The record is from RNAcentral. Lineage: Eukaryota; Fungi; Ascomycota; Dothideomycetes; Mycosphaerellales; Mycosphaerellaceae.